CUGCUAUGAUGAGUGAAGUAUAGUCUGACCUGGUAUUGCCCAGACUGCGGUUUGGGCUCUGACCAGGACGUGAUCACGUAAUCUUCUCUCUGAGCCG
Small nucleolar RNA from Hemicordylus capensis (graceful crag lizard), 97 nucleotides. RefSeq annotates it as Z30 small nucleolar RNA. The record is from RefSeq and is a predicted model, not a curated record. Lineage: Eukaryota; Metazoa; Chordata; Lepidosauria; Squamata; Cordylidae. The transcript has a single exon.